UACGUAGGGUGCAAGCGUUGUCCGGAAUUAUUGGGCGUAAAGAGCUCGUAGGCGGUUUGUCACGUCGGCUGUGAAAACCUGGGGCUCAACCCCGGGCCUGCAGCCGAUACGGGCAGACUAGAAUUCGGCAGGGGAGACUGGAAUUCCUGGUGUAGCGGUGAAAUGCGCAGAUAUCAGGAGGAACACCGGUGGCGAAGGCGGGUCUCUGGGCCGAUAUUGACGCUGAGGAGCGAAAGCGUGGGGAGCAAACAGG
This 253-nucleotide ribosomal RNA is filed under the name uncultured bacterium. RNAcentral describes it as "partial 16S ribosomal RNA". It matches the Rfam family "Bacterial small subunit ribosomal RNA", at positions 524 to 776 of the family's 1533-position model. The record is from RNAcentral.